Molecule: long non-coding RNA, 2191 nt
Organism: Gadus macrocephalus (Pacific cod)
Lineage: Eukaryota; Metazoa; Chordata; Actinopteri; Gadiformes; Gadidae
Exons: 2
Source: RefSeq, a predicted model, not a curated record
UACGCUAAAACGUCAAACACAUGUGUUCCCAGUUGUUUAUACGCAGUAAAACAUUGGCCUUCUCGUUGAAGGACAUUUCUUAAUUGUCGAGGCUUCUUUAAACAUACAAACGAAAAAAUUGUGUUUGCACAGUUUUUCAUGCCAAAAUCCCAAAUUUAGGUAAAUGACUUAUUUAGUAUAAUCAGGGAAUACAUUAAAUAUAAAGUAAUGCAUUUCUCAAGUGCUGAGUCAGUAGGCCUAUCCAUCUUAAUUUCAUAGAUCCCACCCAUUUUCCUUAGAAUCGCUCAUAGCGCACUUAUAUUGCUAAACUGACUAUUCCAGUUUGUUAAUUUCUCUUGCUUCAACACGAACAAAACCUCCAAUGUCCCUUAUCACCCAGCUGCCAUAUUGGUUAGCUGGUUGGGUAAACCUUCCAGAAUCUUAGGAAACAAUGAAGACUCAAUAGAUUAGUUUUAGUUCUGCGUUUCAUUACCAGCCAAGGGAACUAACCUGUAAUGCCUGAUUUUCUGUUGCGAUGAACGUUUUCGUCUUUCAUCAUCUAUUUUACACACACUUUGAUCCUUGUGUUUCAGACAGAUGUUACAGCACACACAAGGGAAGAAGACAAGACAGGACUCCAGUGGGGGAGCGAGAAUACCCUCAACGAGUCUGCCAGCCAAGGAGGCAUCGCCAAGACUGAAGGGUGCCAAGGAAGUGGAACACACAGACCCACACAACCCACUUCAUUUGAGAAAGAGAAUAAGAUAGCUGUCCAUUUGAGCAUCUUGGAACCAAGUCAUUUCUGUGGCUUGUUGUCAACUCAGUCUGCGUUUUCACACUCGUAAAGUAAGUGCGAUCGGUGCAGCUAAAAAGAGCGAUGUGUAAAACCAACACUAUUGGUGUUCAGUGCUUAAAGCGCUAUUCAUCCCAGCAGGUAGCUUCUCAUAAAGUCUCUAGAUUCAAAGGACUCUUGCUUCCCGUAAAUGUGGCUAUGUUCAUAGGAACUGGGCACCAAGCGUGUGUGUGUGUGUGUGUGUGUGUGUGUGUGUGUGUGUGUGUGUGUGUGUGUGUGAAAUAGCCUGGCCUGUGUGUGUAUUCUUGGUGUGAAUGUGUGUAUGUGUGUGUGUGAGUGUGUAAUCAUUUGGUUGGUCGGUGUGUGUGUGCGUGUGAGAACGCGAGCAGGGGAAAGGUGCUUGCUGCUGGUUUCUGUCUAGCUGGGUUGCCGUGGCGACUGUGUUUAAAUAAAGGGGUUGGUGUGGUUUGGAAUGUAGAGAUAGCGCAAGGCAGAGCCGCACCUCCUGCACACACACACACACACACACACACACACAGACACACACACACACACAAACACACACACACACACACACACACACACACACACACACACACACACACACACACACACACACACACACUAACAGUGUUGAAUACAUAAACAGCACAUUUAUUGGAGUAGCCAAAUAUUCGCCCGGUCUUCUGUUUAUCAAUUGUGUGGUCAGUUGUCCAAAGCUUUGCGAGUAUAGUUUCUGUGUUUGUGAACAAUAGUUUGUGUGCUGUACUGAGAAAAUCCCUCCUACACACACACAAACACACACACACACACACACACACACACACACACACACACACACACACACACACACACACACACACACACACACACACACAAGCCCACCCUGUGUGUGACGUUGUUUCUCCACUCGUCUUCAUGCAGAGCUCCUCUACCUGUCACUACAAGCUCAGGCCCCGGAGAUUAUGAUGAAACGCACACAACACACACGGGGACGUUUGGUUUCAUCACGCAUUAGGAGAACGGUGAGCCGCAUGCAGAGCCCAGGGGAGGAGGAAUGAAUUCCUCCGCAACUUAAGCCAGGCCCUGUUGACACUCAUUACCCGGGAUCACUCAUAACUAUCAUCAUCUCAGAAUGCAAGGUAAUGACCGCCUGCGUUAUCACAGAGAUGUGUUAAUCCAGGGAGUUGUGAUGUCCCGAAGACUAUUGUUUGAAGAUUCUGUAUUGUUGUUGAUUAUUCAGUGGAUGAUGUCAUGAGGGACAAAUCGUUUAGAAGGAAAUAUAAUGAAAGAGACUCGUUAUUUAUAUUUGCAUUCAUUGUUGAUGAAUACAAUGGAGUGGCGUCAAAUUUAUAACAGUACGUUUUUAAAAGAGCAUGCUGUAAAUACAAUAAAAUAAUAAACAUAGGAAAAAAAGUA